UGUUCAGCAGUGCAAGGGGUUCGUCCCCGGCUAUGGCGAUAAACGGUAAGUGAAAUAAGUGUUGUGGACCCGGGGGCAGUGCCCGGCGUCUCCACCAGGAAAAAUCUCUCUGCAAGAGGGAUCUGUGGGGACGAAACAGGCUCGACGCGCAUGGUAAAGACUUAUCUUUUGCCCGGUAUUGUACCACCGUCAUCGGGCUAAACUUACAAGUGCCAAUGAUAACUCUGAGGUGCUCGCUGUCGCUGCAUAAGCGAUAAGCGCGGUUCGGGAGGGCACCGGGCAACAGAAGCCCUCCCACCUCAUUUUUCCUUUUGUGCAAAACGUCUUGCCAUUCUGGCUGG
RNAcentral lists this transfer-messenger RNA (341 nucleotides) under Gluconobacter cerinus. RNAcentral's name for it is "transfer-messenger RNA, SsrA". The stretch from base 19 to 297 matches the Rfam family "Alphaproteobacteria transfer-messenger RNA", at positions 40 to 355 of the family's 355-position model. From Rfam's summary of the family: Bacterial tmRNA, also known as 10Sa RNA or SsrA, is named for its dual tRNA and mRNA-like properties. Its role is to liberate the mRNA from a stalled ribosome. The record is from RNAcentral. Lineage: Bacteria; Pseudomonadati; Pseudomonadota; Alphaproteobacteria; Acetobacterales; Acetobacteraceae.